UACGUAGGGUGCGAGCGUUGUCCGGAAUUAUUGGGCGUAAAGAGCUCGUAGGCGGUCUGUCGCGUCGAUCGUGAAAACUUGGGGCUUAACCCUGAGCUUGCGGUCGAUACGGGCAUGACUGGAGUUCGGCAGGGGAGACUGGAAUUCCUGGUGUAGCGGUGAAAUGCGCAGAUAUCAAGUGGAACACCAGUGGCGAAGGCGAGUCCCUGGACAACUCCUGACACUGAGGCACGAAAGCUAGGGGAGCAAACAGG
This 254-nucleotide ribosomal RNA is filed under the name uncultured bacterium. RNAcentral's name for it is "partial 16S ribosomal RNA". It matches the Rfam family "Bacterial small subunit ribosomal RNA", at positions 524 to 776 of the family's 1533-position model. The record is from RNAcentral.